ACCUGCCUGACUAGCCCGUUGGCGCAAUUUAUAAUGACCCUGCUUUCUGCUCUGUCUGGGAGUCUGGGUGUAAUAUAUAUAUUUAUUUAUAUAGGUAUUAUUUAUAAGUAUGUUUAUAAAAAAAUGUAGCUAUACUAGUCGGCUGUUACCUAUAACACAAACAUUAUAUGUUUGAUGCAGAAAAUUUCAAUCUCAACGAUUUUUUAUAUUUAUUUAUCUGUAGAAUACCAACAAAGUAUACGCCAUAUUUCAAGAACAUCAUACAAAAACAGUAGGGUCGGAGUAUAACUUUAAUUAUAGGUGAAAACUACUAAACUUGACUUACAUACACUAUUACCAUACUUAAAUAAACAUACACAUGGCUAGAACUUAAGAUUGUGUUUUACAUUACAAUCAGCUAUAAUAAAAGAUGAAAAUUAAAAAAAUCGAAGAAUUAAAGAGAAACAAUACUUGUAUGGGACAGUCUAUGGUUGAGUGAGAGAUGACAUGUGAGGGAAGGUUAUGAGGGAAACCAAACCCAAUGAAAGUCGAUCUAACACUCUAUGAAUCUUGUCAACAGCAAGGCUGCAUUCUCUGUAUGAAUCCUCGAAGGACCAAAAAAACUGUAUGGUACAGUCUGUGUGAGUGAGAGACGACAUGUGAGGGAAGGUUAUGAGGGAAACCAAACCCAAUGAAAGUCGAUCUAACACU
Molecule: unclassified non-coding RNA, 690 nt
Filed under: Melitaea cinxia (Glanville fritillary)
Lineage: Eukaryota; Metazoa; Arthropoda; Insecta; Lepidoptera; Nymphalidae
Description: misc RNA ENSMCXG00005000239.1
Source: RNAcentral